Molecule: ribosomal RNA, 278 nt
Filed under: uncultured bacterium
Lineage: Bacteria
Description: partial 16S ribosomal RNA
Rfam family: Bacterial small subunit ribosomal RNA
Source: RNAcentral
UGCCAGCGCCGCGGUAAUACGGAGGGAGCUAGCGUUGUUCGGAAUUACUGGGCGUAAAGAGCGUGUAGGCUGUUAGGUAAGUCAGAGGUGAAAUCCCUAAGCUCAACUUAGGAACUGCCUUUGAUACUAUCUUACUAGAGAUCGAGAGAAGUUAGCGGAAUUCCAAGUGUAGAGGUGAAAUUCGUAGAUAUUUGGAAGAACACCAGUGGCGAAAGCGGCUAACUGGCUCGAUACUGACGCUGAGGUACGAAAGUGUGGGGAGCAAACAGGAUUAGAUA